UAUACAUGCAAGUCGAGCGCGCCCUUCGGGGUGAGCGGCGGACGGGUGAGUAACGCGUGGGAAUAUGCCCUUCUCUAAGGAAUAGCCUCUGGAAACGGAGAGUAAUACCUUAUACGCCCUUUGGGGGAAAGAUUUAUCGGAGAAGGAUUAGCCCGCGUUAGAUUAGGUAGUUGGUGGGGUAAUGGCCUACCAAGCCUACGAUCUAUAGCUGGUUUGAGAGGAUGAUCAGCCACACUGGGACUGAGACACGGCCCAGACUCCUACGGGAGGCAGCAGUAGGGAAUCUUAGACAAUGGGGGCAACCCUGAUCUAGCCAUGCCGCGUGUGUGAUGAAGGCCCUAGGGUCGUAAAGCACUUUCGCCAGAGAUGAUAAUGACAGUAUCUGGUAAAGAAACCCCGGCUAACUCCGUGCCAGCAGCCGCGGUAAUACGGAGGGGGUUAGCGUUGUUCGGAAUUACUGGGCGUAAAGCGCACGUAGGCGGAUUAGUAAGUUAGAGGUGAAAUCCCAGGGCUCAACCCUGGAACUGCCUUUAAUACUGCUAGUCUUGAGUUCGAGAGAGGUAAGUGGAAUUCCGAGUGUAGAGGCGAAAUUCGUAGAUAUUCGGAGGAACACCAGUGGCGAAGGCGGCUUACUGGCUCGAUACUGACGCUGAGGUGCGAAAGUGUGGGGAGCAAACGGGAUUAGAUACCCUGGUAGUCCACACCGUAAACGAUGAAUGCCAGACGUCAGCAAGUAUACUUGUUGGUGUCACACCUAACGGAUUAAGCAUUCCGCCUGGGGAGUACGGGCGCAAGAUUAAAACUCAAAGGAAUUGA
This 816-nucleotide ribosomal RNA is filed under the name uncultured marine bacterium. RNAcentral describes it as "bacterial SSU rRNA". It matches the Rfam family "Bacterial small subunit ribosomal RNA", at positions 50 to 913 of the family's 1533-position model. The record is from RNAcentral.